Long non-coding RNA from Rosa rugosa (rugosa rose), 341 nucleotides. RefSeq lists it as uncharacterized. The record is from RefSeq and is a predicted model, not a curated record. The transcript is spliced from 3 exons. NCBI's taxonomy places the organism in Eukaryota, Viridiplantae, Streptophyta, Magnoliopsida, Rosales, Rosaceae.
GCAUGUGUUAUUGAUUGAUGUGUUUUGUUCAAUAAUGCGUGUUGUACAGCAACUUUAUAUGCAGUUACUCAAAGAGAGUUGAUGGUACUCGAGAUUUGGCGACAGAUGUAAAGUCUGGCAAUAAGGAAGACAUUGAGAAAUUCAGUAAACGGACAGUAAAGGUGACAAAGCAGCACAAUGAAGACUGCAGAAGACUUUUAUGGCUCAUGGGUGUGCCUGUAAUUGAGGUUGGACAUUAUUUAUAAUAAGUAAACUGCUGUAUAUGUGAGUUUCAGUUUGAUACAGAAUUAAAUGUUUGCCAUACUUUACUUGGAUGAAUUGAGUUUCACAGGCUCCCUCGG